This 480-nucleotide ribosomal RNA is filed under the name uncultured bacterium. Its description in RNAcentral is "bacterial SSU rRNA". It matches the Rfam family "Bacterial small subunit ribosomal RNA", at positions 17 to 518 of the family's 1533-position model. The record is from RNAcentral.
UUCUGGCUCAGAACGAACGCUGGCGGCAUGGGUUAGGCAUGCAAGUCGAACGGGAGCAGCAAUGCUCCAGUGGCGCAAGGGUGAGGAACACGUGAACAACCUGCCUUCGAGUUGGGGAUAGCUUCUGGAAACGGGAGAUAAUACCGAAUAACAUCAACCGGUCGCAUGACUGGUUGAUCAAAGCAGCAAUGCGCUUGAAGAGGGGUUCGCGUCCCAUUAGCUAGUUGGUGAGGUAACGGCCCACCAAGGCGAUGAUGGGUAGCUGGUCUGAGAGGACGAUCAGCCACAUUGGGACUGAGAUACUGCCCAGACUCCUACGGGAGGCUGCAGUCGAGAAUUUUGGGCAAUGGACGAAAGUCUGAACCCCCAGCAAUGCCGCGUGCGGGAUGAAGGUCUUCGGAUUGUAAACCGCUGUCAAGAGGGACGAAACAUGACGGUACCUCUGGAGGAAGCCACGGCUAACUACGUGCCAGCCGCGGC